Molecule: ribosomal RNA, 323 nt
Filed under: uncultured eukaryote
Lineage: Eukaryota
Description: partial 18S ribosomal RNA
Rfam family: Eukaryotic small subunit ribosomal RNA
Source: RNAcentral
CCCUUAGAUGUUCUGGGCCGCACGCGUGCUACACUGAACGGUUCAAUGGGUAAGGUAGUGCGAAAGCAUGACCUAAUCCCGAAAUCCGUUCGUGCUGGGGAUAGAAGCUUGCAAUUAUUAAUCUUCAACGAGGAAUGCCUAGUAAGCGCAAGUCAUCAGCUUGCGUUGAUUACGUCCCUGCCCUUUGUACACACCGCCCGUCGCUCCUACCGAUUGAAUGGUCCGGUGAAGCGUUCGGACCGUGGCCUUUGGACGGUUCGCCGUCUGUUGGCUGCGGGAAGUUCGUUAAACCUUAUCAUUUAGAGGAAGGAGAAGUCGUAACA